RNAcentral lists this ribosomal RNA (989 nucleotides) under uncultured Ascomycota. Its description in RNAcentral is "eukaryotic LSU rRNA". It matches the Rfam family "Eukaryotic large subunit ribosomal RNA", at positions 1 to 1006 of the family's 3401-position model. Lineage: Eukaryota; Fungi; Ascomycota. The record is from RNAcentral.
CUCUUGACCUCGGAUCAGGUAGGGAUACCCGCUGAACUUAAGCAUAUCAAUAAGCGGAGGAAAAGAAACCAACAGGGAUUGCCCUAGUAACGGCGAGUGAAGCGGCAACAGCUCAAAUUUGAAAUCUGGCGUCUUCGGCGUCCGAGUUGUAAUUUGCAGAGGGCGCUUUGGCAUUGGCAGCGGUCCAAGUUCCUUGGAACAGGACGUCACAGAGGGUGAGAAUCCCGUACGUGGUCGCUAGCCUUUACCGUGUAAAGCCCCUUCGACGAGUCGAGUUGUUUGGGAAUGCAGCUCUAAAUGGGAGGUAAAUUUCUUCUAAAGCUAAAUACUGGCCAGAGACCGAUAGCGCACAAGUAGAGUGAUCGAAAGAUGAAAAGCACUUUGGAAAGAGAGUUAAAAAGCACGUGAAAUUGUUGAAAGGGAAGCGCUUGCAGCCAGACUUGCCUGUAGUUGCUCAUCUGGGUUUUUACCCAGUGCACUCUUCUACGGGCAGGCCAGCAUCAGUUUGGGCGGUUGGAUAAAGGUCUCUGUCAUGUACCUCUCUUCGGGGAGAACUUAUAGGGGAGACGACAUGCAACCAGCCUGGACUGAGGUCCGCGCAUCUGCUAGGAUGCUGGCGUAAUGGCUGUAAGCGGCCCGUCUUGAAACACGGACCAAGGAGUCUAACAUCUAUGCGAGUGUUUGGGUGUCAAGCCCGAGCGCGUAAUGAAAGUGAACGGAGGUGGGAACCUUUCGGGGUGCACCAUCGACCGAUCCUGAUGUCUUCGGAUGGAUUUGAGUAAGAGCAUAGCUGUUGGGACCCGAAAGAUGGUGAACUAUGCUUGAAUAGGGUGAAGCCAGAGGAAACUCUGGUGGAGGCUCGCAGCGGUUCUGACGUGCAAAUCGAUCGUCAAAUUUGGGCAUAGGGGCGAAAGACUAAUCGAACUAUCUAGUAGCUGGUUCCUGCCGAAGUUUCCCUCAGGAUAGCAGUAACGUUUUCAGUUUUAUGA